GCGCUCGUAGCUCAGUUGGAUAGAGUACAGCCCUCCGAAGGCUGGGGUCGUGGGUUCGAAUCCCGCCGAGCGCGCCA
This 77-nucleotide transfer RNA is filed under the name Mizugakiibacter sediminis. Its description in RNAcentral is "tRNA-Arg". It matches the Rfam family "tRNA". Rfam says of the family: Transfer RNA (tRNA) molecules are approximately 80 nucleotides in length. Their secondary structure includes four short double-helical elements and three loops (D, anti-codon, and T loops). The record is from RNAcentral. Lineage: Bacteria; Pseudomonadati; Pseudomonadota; Gammaproteobacteria; Lysobacterales; Rhodanobacteraceae.